This 468-nucleotide ribosomal RNA is filed under the name uncultured bacterium. RNAcentral's name for it is "partial 16S ribosomal RNA". It matches the Rfam family "Bacterial small subunit ribosomal RNA", at positions 28 to 507 of the family's 1533-position model. The record is from RNAcentral.
GACGAACGCUGGCGGCGUGCUUAACACAUGCAAGUCGAACGGAAAGGCCCUGCUUUUGUGGGGUGCUCGAGUGGCGAACGGGUGAGUAACACGCGAGUAACCUGCCCUUGACUUUGGGAUAACUUCAGGAAACUGGGGCUAAUACCGGAUAGGAGCUCCUGCUGCAUGGUGGGGGUUGGAAAGUUUCGGCGGUUGGGGAUGGACUCGCGGCUUAUCAGCUUGUUGGGGGGGUAGUGGCUUACCAAGGCUUUGACGGGUAGCCGGCCUGAGAGGGUGACCGGCCACAUUGGGACUGAGAUACGGACCAGACUCGUACGGGAGGCAGCAGUGGGGAAUAUUGCACAAUGGGCGGAAGCCUGAUGCAGCAACGCCGCGUGCGGGAUGACGGCCUUCGGGUUGUAAACCGCUUUCGCCUGUGACGAAGCGUGAGUGACGGUAAUGGGUAAAGAAGCACCGGCUAACUACGUG